RNAcentral lists this ribosomal RNA (253 nucleotides) under uncultured bacterium. RNAcentral describes it as "partial 16S ribosomal RNA". It matches the Rfam family "Bacterial small subunit ribosomal RNA", at positions 524 to 776 of the family's 1533-position model. The record is from RNAcentral.
UACGUAGGGGGCAAGCGUUGUCCGGAAUCAUUGGGCGUAAAGAGCGCGUAGGCGGUCCGUUAAGUCCGCUCUGAAAGCCCGGGGCUCAACCCCGGGAGGCGGGCGGAUACUGUCGGGCUAGAGUCCGGAAGAGGCGAGUGGAAUUCCUGGUGUAGCGGUGAAAUGCGCAGAUAUCAGGAGGAACACCGAUGGCGAAGGCAGGUCUCUGGGCCACUACUGACGCUGAGAAGCGAAAGCAUGGGGAGCGAACAGG